This is a long non-coding RNA of Drosophila obscura, 213 nucleotides long. RefSeq lists it as uncharacterized. NCBI's taxonomy places the organism in Eukaryota, Metazoa, Arthropoda, Insecta, Diptera, Drosophilidae. The record is from RefSeq and is a predicted model, not a curated record. The transcript is spliced from 3 exons.
AGACCACAAGACAAGAGACCCUUUUUUGUGAGGUCAAAGGUGUAAAGGGCAAACAGCAUUUGAGUGCGCUUGCUUCAUUUGGCCCAGGUCCAGGAUCUGGUGCGGUCGGUCUCGCCCAGCCAGCCCGGUAUCUGGAUAAAGCCGUGAAGAAGGAGCCGAGUCCUGCCAGGCCACUGCCAUGAGCAUGCAUUAGAGGAGCAGAGGGGCAGGCCG